This 231-nucleotide long non-coding RNA is filed under the name Carica papaya (papaya). RNAcentral describes it as "long non-coding RNA (CPAP_LNC008579)". The record is from RNAcentral. Lineage: Eukaryota; Viridiplantae; Streptophyta; Magnoliopsida; Brassicales; Caricaceae.
UAGCAUUCGAGUUUCAUAAAGAAUUCCUGAAAAUUCCUACAUAAAAAUAUGCUAAAGAAAAAUUAAUUAAAUAUUGCUUGUUUAUUUUUCUCAGUUUCUCUCUCUUUCACCAAGUUUGCUCGUCACUGCCACUUCUCAUUUUGCGUCUCACCUUCUGCAUGUUCACUCCACUAGUUUCUCUUCCGUUAAACUUUUUACUUUCUCGCUUCAACUUUAUGAUCUCACUUCUAC